Molecule: ribosomal RNA, 253 nt
Filed under: uncultured bacterium
Lineage: Bacteria
Description: partial 16S ribosomal RNA
Rfam family: Bacterial small subunit ribosomal RNA
Source: RNAcentral
UACGGAGGUGGCAAGCGUUGCUCGGAUUCACUGGGUGUAAAGGGCGUGUAGGCGGUUCUGCAAGCCCUGCCUGAAAUCCGUCGGCUCAACCGACGGCUGCGGCAGGGGACUGCUGGACUUGAGGACGGAAGAGGUGAGCGGAAUUCCCGGUGUAAGGGUGAAAUCUGUAGAUAUCGGGAGGAACACCAGUGGCGAAAGCGGCUCACUAGUCCGUUUCUGACGCUGAGAUGCGAAAGCUAGGGGAGCGAACAGG